Molecule: long non-coding RNA, 941 nt
Organism: Chinchilla lanigera (long-tailed chinchilla)
Lineage: Eukaryota; Metazoa; Chordata; Mammalia; Rodentia; Chinchillidae
Exons: 3
Source: RefSeq, a predicted model, not a curated record
ACGGAGGCCUACUGGUUUGUUUCCCAGGGAAACCCAGCAGGCAGGGCUGGGCUGGCUAGGACAGGGGCUGCGGGACAGUGGAAAGGACUUCUUACCCUCAGGGCAACACGCUUCCUUGGCCAAGCCAUAGAGCAGAGAGAGAGACACAAACCUAGAGUCCUUCCUCUCUUUCUUCUCCACUCCACCCUCAGGUGUCCAGGCCAAGGACAGGACCAGCACUGAUUGGUUUAGGCUUUGAUUACUGCCCACCUCUGAAGCCAUUGGUGAAUGACUGGAAUGCUGAUGAGUGGUUCUGGCCAAUUGACGCCUCUUUCUUGGAGCUAUAGUGCUUUUUUCCUCACCUCUCCCAAAGAGGGACCAGUGCAGCUUGGUGAUUAAGACUGUUCCACCCUGGGCUUCUCCACCCGCCAGCUGUAAGACUUGAGUGGGAAUUCUAACGCAUUUUGCAGCGGUUCCACAACUACAGAAAAUUAUCCACUAGCCACUCUUAGGCUGCAAGAGAAAUGAAGCGAGAGAUUCCUCUGUCCAGAUAAACACCCGUGGGAUUUCUGUCCACGAGCUGGAGAACUUUUCCACAAAAGCAAUUUCUCAUUUUUUAAGAAACACUAGCUCACACAGAGGACUGUGGAUCCUCUAGGGAGAACCUUUCUCUCAGUUUUUCUGAAGUUCUGACGUGGGUGUGUGGGGCCACCUGAGCCUAAUGGUGAUGAUGUAGACUUUUGGGAGAGAGGGGAGGGAGGGAUGGGGGAAGAUGGGUUGCUGGUCAGGACGGGACAGCCCAGUGGCAUGCUGCCACCUCAACCAGCGCUCUACUUGCAAUAAAACAGGUAACUUAUCGAUCAGUGGGAAAAAAUCUGUAAUGAGUUAAUUUAGGAACUUCGAAAUGUGUCAGAACUUUAUUUCCAAGUGCCUUCUUCCCAGUAUGAGAACAUUAGUUUUUU